CCUACGGGAGGCAGCAGUAGGGAAUAUUGCUCAAUGGGGGAAACCCUGAAGCAGCAACGCCGCGUGGAGGAUGAAGGUUUUCGGAUUGUAAACUCCUUUUGUUAGAGAAGAUAAUGACGGUAUCUAACGAAUAACCACCGGAUAACUCCGUGCCAGAAGCCGCGGUGAUACGGAGGGUGCAAGCGUUACUCGGAAUCACUGGGCGUAAAGAGCGCGUAGGCGGGAUAGCAAGUCCGAUGUGAAAACUUAUGGGUGAACCAUAGAACUGCAUUUGAAACUGUUAUUAUAGAGUAUGGGAGAGGUAGGUGGAAUGCUUGGUGUAGGGGUAAAAUCCGUAGAGAUCAAGAGGAAUACUCAUUGCGAAGGCGACCUGCUAGAACAUAACUGACGCUGAUGCGCGAAAGUGUGGGGAGCGAACAGGAUUAGAUACCCUAGUAGUC
This 440-nucleotide ribosomal RNA is filed under the name uncultured bacterium. RNAcentral's name for it is "partial 16S ribosomal RNA". It matches the Rfam family "Bacterial small subunit ribosomal RNA", at positions 338 to 795 of the family's 1533-position model. The record is from RNAcentral.